GUGUAUUUGCAUGCUAGGCAAUGUGGUGUUAAGGCUUGUACCUGGGAUCGUGUCCCUACCCGAAGUCUAAAUCCGAUUGUGGCUUUGGAUUCAUUCCAUAGCGGGUGAAAGUCCCGUGCGGGUAGGACUAUUGCAAAUCCACACGGUCCUCAGAUGUGCAUGCUUUCGAGUCGGAUUGCUUGAGAAUGCAGUCCAAAGUGGGUGGUAAACUCCAUCCAAGGCUAAAUACUGGCACGAGUCCGAUAGUAGACAAGUACCGUGAGGGAAAGUUGAAAAGUACUCUGAAGAGAGAGUAAAUAGUACGUGAAGCCGAUUGCAGGGAAGCUGGUGGAGUCAAGCUUCGUGCUUGAGGGAUUGAUGCUGGGAGCAGGUGUGUGAUUUGGAUGUGAGGAUGGUCAACUUGGAAUAAGUUGGGCGUGUUCUGAAUGCGCUUCACGUCAUUCCGGGUAGAGUGUUAUGAGCCGUCCUUGCUUUCCUACUCUCAGUGUUGUAUUCCUUGCUGCACAGGCCCCAGUCGAUAGGUGCGCGCAGUGUGAUGGCCUAACUGUGCUUCGGUGGGUGCAAACUCUCCGGGUGCAGGAUGGCAGGUGCUGUCUUCAGUCCUUGUGGCUGUUGAUAGUUGUUGUGGUUUUGACCGGCU
RNAcentral lists this ribosomal RNA (640 nucleotides) under Cichlidogyrus tilapiae. RNAcentral describes it as "partial large subunit ribosomal RNA". It matches the Rfam family "Eukaryotic large subunit ribosomal RNA", at positions 126 to 631 of the family's 3401-position model. The record is from RNAcentral. Lineage: Eukaryota; Metazoa; Platyhelminthes; Monogenea; Dactylogyridea; Ancyrocephalidae.